This 492-nucleotide ribosomal RNA is filed under the name uncultured bacterium. Its description in RNAcentral is "partial 16S ribosomal RNA". It matches the Rfam family "Bacterial small subunit ribosomal RNA", at positions 29 to 507 of the family's 1533-position model. The record is from RNAcentral.
AGUGAACGCUGGCGGUAGGCCUAACACAUGCGAGUCGAACGGCAGCACAGUAAGAGCUUGCUCUUACGGGUGGCGAGUGGCGGACGGGUGAGGAAUACAUCGGAAUCUACUUUUUCGUGGGGGAUAACGUAGGGAAACUUACGCUAAUACCGCAUACGACCUACGGGUGAAAGCAGGGAAUCUUCGGACCUUGCGCGAUUGAAUGAGCCGAUGUCGGAUUAGCUAGUUGGCGGGGUAAAGGCCCACCAAGGCGACGAGCCGUAGCUGGUCUGAGAGGAUGAUCAGCCACACUGGAACUGAGACACGGUCCAGACUCCUACGGGAGGCAGCAGUGGGGAAUAUUGGACAAUGGGCGCAAGCCUGAUCCAGCCAUACCGCGUGGGUGAAGAAGGCCUUCGGGUUUUAAAGCCCUUUUGUUGGGAAAGAAAAGCAGCAGGUUAAUACCCCGCUGUUCUGACGGUACCCAAAGAAUAAGCACCGGCUAACUUCGUG